UUUUUUCCUUACAAUAAUUUUAUUCCAAUUAUUUCCAGGACAUGGUCUAGGACCAUGAUGACAGUUUGGAAGGUGAUUUGAACAUGUUUGAUUUCUCCCAAGUGAAGUAAAUUUUACAAUAUUGGCAGGCUUCAAGAAAAGAUUUUUACCCUUAUACCUUACUCAGAUCUUCUCUGUGACCUAUGAAGAAUAUUGUUGGCACUCAAAGACUACUGAUCUGUACACAAUUAGCCUGUGGCCUCAUUAAUUUCUCAUAAAACAAUAGAAUAUUUACAAGAGGAAGUGCUUUCUUACCAAAAGAAAAUGAAGGAGGAAGUAUCUGAAAUAAAUGUAUGGAAACAAACUGAAUUUGGCUUUUCGAAGACAUCUAUGUUGUGGAGUAAAUCGCUUGGGAUUUCUAUCAUUUGGCUGUGGGAAGGAG
This 421-nucleotide long non-coding RNA is filed under the name Felis catus (domestic cat). Its description in RNAcentral is "lncRNA (ENSFCAG00000043851.2)". The record is from RNAcentral. Lineage: Eukaryota; Metazoa; Chordata; Mammalia; Carnivora; Felidae.